GAUGAAGAACGUAGCGAAACGCGAUAAGUAAUGUGAAUUGCAGAAUUCAGUGAAUCAUCGAAUCUUUGAACGCACAUUGCGCCCCCUGGUAUUCCUGGGGGCAUGCCUGUUCGAGCGUCAUUUCACCACUCAAGCCUCGCUUGGUAUUGGGCAACGCGGUCCGCCGCGUGCCUCAAAUCGACCGGCUGGGUCUUCUGUCCCCUAAGCGUUGUGGAAACUUUCGCUAAAGGGUGUUCGGGAGGCUACGCCGUAAAACAACCCCAUUUCUAAGGUUGACCUCGGAUCAGGUAGGGAUACCCGCUGAACUUAAGCAUAUCAAUAAGCGGAGGA
This 330-nucleotide unclassified non-coding RNA is filed under the name soil metagenome. RNAcentral describes it as "partial contains 5.8S ribosomal RNA, internal transcribed spacer 2, and large subunit ribosomal RNA". The stretch from base 1 to 120 matches the Rfam family "5.8S ribosomal RNA", at positions 35 to 154 of the family's 154-position model. The record is from RNAcentral.